AGGUUCCUGUAUCUUCAUGUCGAGUUGGUCGCUGCCCAACGUAGAGGACUAGGAAUCAGGAGUCAGUGGCCGUAUGCUGGAGGCUGGAGCCACGUGAACGCGGCUCGCCUUGCUGCGGUUGUUGGCAGUGAUGGAGAGAUAGCAGCGCGACUGGAGCGCUACAUUUACUAGAGCGACAAAAAGUGCUACAAGAAAAAGAUGAGCUCAGAAAAGCACUGGCCAGUUUAGAAGAAUUAAAAGAGAAAAAAACAGAAAUUAUCGGACUUGCAGGAUUAAGAUGUAAGUAUUUUUCAUGUCCAACUUGUAAAAGAUAAGAAAUGUUUUGAGUGACAAGUCCAAUUAGGACUCAGUCUUUGAUUUAGACAAAAUCCAGAGAAUAGCUUUCAUAUCCUCGUUGAAACCAACUAAUUAAGCAACAUGCCAAAAUUCCUUUCAGCUCGACAAAAGGGCUCCAUGAAGAGACUAAGGAUGGACUUUUACA
Molecule: long non-coding RNA, 481 nt
Filed under: Homo sapiens (human)
Lineage: Eukaryota; Metazoa; Chordata; Mammalia; Primates; Hominidae
Description: HSALNT0341040
Source: RNAcentral